CCUGUACAAACAAAUAGCUGAUGGAGUGACGGAGAAGGUUAAUGCAUCCCCAUUAUCGGAUUUGGGGUUAAAUAAGAAGUCUUAAGGGUUGGCAAAUCCGCCYUUUUUAAGGACAACUUAUGAAUACGAGUGAACGCUUUGCAAGUAGCGAAGAUGCAUACAUCACGCUUCCAAGAAAAGCUUCUAGGGUUAACUAUUUGUUUCCAGUACCGAGAACGAACACACGUGGUCAAGGAGAAGAUCCUAAGGUUAGCGAGUGAACUAUAGCUAAGGAACUCUGCAAAUUCAUCCCGUAAGUUCGCAAGAAGGGAUGCUCAAUGUAACAGUUGAGCCGCAGUGAAGAACGAGGGGGGACUGUUUAACUAAAACACAGCUCUAUGCUAAAUCGCAAGAUGAUGUAUAUGGGGUGACACCUGCCCAGUGCUGGAAGGUUAAAGAAGGGUGUUAG
This 448-nucleotide ribosomal RNA is filed under the name Mycoplasmoides gallisepticum. Its description in RNAcentral is "bacterial LSU rRNA". It matches the Rfam family "Bacterial large subunit ribosomal RNA", at positions 1439 to 1893 of the family's 2925-position model. The record is from RNAcentral. Lineage: Bacteria; Bacillati; Mycoplasmatota; Mycoplasmoidales; Mycoplasmoidaceae.